Molecule: transfer RNA, 83 nt
Filed under: Canis lupus familiaris (dog)
Lineage: Eukaryota; Metazoa; Chordata; Mammalia; Carnivora; Canidae
Also listed under: 2 other names
Rfam family: tRNA
About the family: Transfer RNA (tRNA) molecules are approximately 80 nucleotides in length. Their secondary structure includes four short double-helical elements and three loops (D, anti-codon, and T loops).
Source: Rfam by way of RNAcentral
GCCUGGUUAGCUCAGUGGUUGAGCAUCUGCCUUUGGCUCAGGUCAUAAUCCCAGGGUCCUGGGAUUGAGUCCCACAUUGGGCU